GUGCACCAGUCGCGAAACCUCCGCAAUGCACGCAAGUGCGACGGGGGGACCCCAAGUGCCACUCUUAACGGGGUGGCUUUUCAGGAGUGUAAAAAGCUCCUGGGAUAAGGGCUGGGCAAGACCGGUGCCAGCCGCCGCGGUAACACCGGCAGCUCGAGUGGUAGCCGCGUUUAUUGGGCCUAAAGCGUCCGUAGCCGGUCCGAUAAGUCUCUGGUGAAAGCCCACAGCUCAACUGUGGGAAUCGCUGGAGAUACUAUCGGACUUGAGGCCGGGAGAGGCUGGAGGUACUCCCAGGGUAGGGGUGAAAUCCUAUAAUCCUGGGAGGACCACCUGUGGCGAAGGCGUCCAGCUGGAACGGACCUGACGGUGAGGGACGAAAGCCAGGGGCGCGAACCGGAUUAGAUACCCUCGUAGUCC
Molecule: ribosomal RNA, 417 nt
Filed under: uncultured Methanothermobacter sp.
Lineage: Archaea; Methanobacteriati; Methanobacteriota; Methanobacteria; Methanobacteriales; Methanobacteriaceae
Description: bacterial SSU rRNA
Rfam family: Archaeal small subunit ribosomal RNA
Source: RNAcentral